RNAcentral lists this ribosomal RNA (467 nucleotides) under uncultured bacterium. RNAcentral describes it as "partial 16S ribosomal RNA". It matches the Rfam family "Bacterial small subunit ribosomal RNA", at positions 28 to 523 of the family's 1533-position model. The record is from RNAcentral.
GAUGAACGCUGGCGGCGUGCCUAACACAUGCAAGUCGAGCGAUUCUCUUCGGAGAAGAGCGGCGGACGGGUGAGUAACGCGUGGGUAACCUGCCCUGUACACACGGAUAACAUACCGAAAGGUAUGCUAAUACGGGAUAUACGCUUUAGUCGCAUGGCUGAAGUAUCAAAGCUCCGGCGGUACAGGAUGGACCCGCGUCUGAUUAGCUAGUUGGUAAGGUAACGGCUUACCAAGGCGACGAUCAGUAGCCGACCUGAGAGGGUGAUCGGCCACAUUGGAACUGAGACACGGUCCAAACUCCUACGGGAGGCAGCAGUGGGGAAUAUUGCACAAUGGGCGAAAGCCUGAUGCAGCAACGCCGCGUGAGCGAUGAAGGCCUUCGGGUCGUAAAGCUCUGUCCUCAAGGAAGAUAAUGACGGUACUUGAGGAGGAAGCCCCGGCUAACUUCGUGCCAGCCGCCGCAGUAU